GCCUGACGUGCUUUCCCAAGAAGCCCUUCAACUCAGACACGGCGGCAAAAGCUGAGCAGAGGUCGGCGAUGCGUGGAGCGUCAGAGCGGGAGAAAACCUGAGGGAAGAAAGCACUAACUGCUCUCGGGAGGCAGAAAUGUGGAAAAACCUACACUACAAGUAGCAGCUGACGAGAAAGCCCUCUGCAUCCACCUUCUGGUUAAAGCUCCAUGGCGGCAGACGUGGAAAGUAAUGUUGCAAACAGGCCAGCAAGCACCCAAACUGAAUAAGAACAAUUUCUGGGAGAAUCUUAAGAGAGGGUGCCAGCGAUUGACAAACCACCGGCCUUGGCAGCGUGCGAGGUUGCAGAGAUCCCUGCUCCCAGCGUAUCCCAGUGAAAGGGUGGAACACGCACAGCUGAUGAGUGAAUGUGAGUGGCUGAUGUCUGGAGAAAGAAGUCGCCUGCAUAUUGAAUAAAGAGAAACUUAAGAAGGAGAAAGGACUUCAGAAUUCCCAGAUGUAUAAUUCCAUCAGGAGAAAUGGUAAUACAACUCUAAGUGAUGUAUACACAGUUUCAUCUGGGGACUCUCAAUGAAAACAAUGACAUCUGAAAUAUAUAGAUAAUUAAUUUUAUUGUGAUUAUAUGAGGGCAGCAUUUAUGAGGGCAAAAGAACAACUUCAGUCUUCCAUUUGGAAAAGAAAGAAUAGCAUGGAAUAAGAUCUUGACUGUGCAAAUAUCUACAGUUUAAUGGUAUUUCAGAAUAAAUUGUCUUACAGAUUCAGUUAUUGCCGUGCCGGGAUGCUUCCAUCAGAUUGCACAAGCACUGCUGGAGAAACGGUGGGAAGGAAGAUCAUUUAGGAUCUCUUCUGCAAUCUUGUACACAAAUAGCCAAGCAGACAAAAACUUUCACUCAGUAAAAUAGUUUGUUUAAUGUCAAACAAUACAGAGUGAUAUGCAGUAAAUUAUAAAUGUUAACCGAAGUGAUUCUCAUUGGAGAGAAUUUCUUGCUGCAACGAGAAUCUUUAAGUUUUCUCUGCAAGAGGACUUCUUAGGAACAGGUAGUGCCAAAAAUAGCUCUCAAAGCCAAAAAGAGGUAGAUUCUGUGCAGCACCUGAGGAGUACUGAGCUUUGAAAUAUUAAUGGGGCAGAUAUAAAGUGUGGAAAGAUGUGACACUGACAGCUAACAUAUGAACUGAUUGAUUCUCUAUCUCGUACAUGUAUGAUCUUGUGAAGGGGGGCUUGAUGAGCAAAGAAAAAAGGAACAGCAAUGUCACAGUCAUAUCACUUUGAGUAUCUUAGAAUAAGGAUUUAACAUUUAUGAUUUUUUUUUCCACUCAGGACAGAUUUUGUUUUGUUUCUGAGCUGGCUGUAUGCCUUUCCUCUGAUGCUCCUGAGCUUCAUUCACUAAAGAUGUGUGGCACACGGUGCAUCCUACUGUGUGCUAAUAAGAAACUAUCAACAGAUUGACUUGGUGGAAGCCCUUUGCUGUAGAAAUGUAAAGUGAAACAGCUGUUACAGACUAGCUUCAUUGUACGGAUCCUGAAAUCUGAACAAAACUAAAAACUGCUGUUGAUCACUAUGGAAAGAAACUUCAUUGGAUUUUUCCCAGUGUGGCUUUGUUCUCCAGUUAAAAACUUCAGCCUUGGGCUAAAAGGCCAUUUUUCUCUGCUUUGCUGUAUCCUUUUAUUUUUCAUUUAACACUGGGUCCAAGAACAUUAAAUAAGUGUUGUAGUCCUAGGCUUGCUCUGCCGAUGAACAAUUGAUUUGCUGUGGUCCUCACAGGAUCUAGCGAAGGUUCAGCAAGAGAGUAAAAGGAAAGAGGUGAGAUUUCUGGAAACUGGAUUGCUGGAAACAAAACAUAAAGAACUUGGUUUGCAGUGUUGAGUCAGCUUUGUUUGCUGCUCUGUCAAGGAUAGCUCCAAUCUGAACUAGCCAAAUUUGGUUUAUAUACAUUACUACGUGAUAGCCACCACCAUCUUCUAGAAGGCAUAUGGUGUCAUUAGCACAACAAAAUAGCAGUUGCACAAAUUAUAUGAAAUCUAAAAAGGAAGAAUUCUACUGUAAGUGUCAAGGCCAAAUGUUGUGGUAUGUAUCUAGUUAAAGUAAGAAAGUAAGGACUUAUUUUUCUAACUCAUUCUCCAUAUUCUGUUCUCCCAGGCAGGUAUCUAAUGCAUUCACCCCACUGCCAAUGCUCAGAUGUGAGCACGCACCUACUUUCUGAGCUUUUUACCAUGGGACAUUACCAGCAUCCUGCCUGCUCAAAACAUUAGCUCUGUCAGGAAAUAGUAAAUGGCAGGAUAUAUAUGCCAAAGUUCUCUAAGUGGAACCACCUGGGUAUCUAUUGUGUUUCCAUUCUGAAUUUUCAUCGGGGCUAUUUAUUAUCAAAGAGAAACUGUAGGAAAAGUGAGAAACGGGUAUUGUUAAUGAGUUUUCUGGGAGUGGAAGUAUAAAUCAGUUCUUAUGACCUGGAAUGGCGUUAUCCAAGGGCCACGAGAAUCUGCAUGUGGGUGGCCAAUGCAGUCGGCUUUUCAAACCGAUUGGCUGUAUUUAGGUGAGGAUGACAGCACCAGACCAGCAGUGGAUGAGUAAAUGUGACAGGUUCACAGAUAACAGUGCUGACCUAUAUUUGAUAAACGCUUUUUGUUCUACAGUUUCCAGUGACAGUAAAGCCACCUGGCUGCUGUUUUUUUCACCAUGCAUCUUGCUGUAUGGAUGGGCAGAAAUGAGGCCUGUGCUUCUUUACACUAUAGACUUUCUUUCUACUUGUCGGUAGCUAUGAGCACAAAAUGUUGCUUUUAGAGUGUCCUUGAAGCAUGCAUAUUAUUUUUCCAGUUGCAUGGGAAUUGCCAGGUCACAGCCUGACCCAAUGGUUGUGCACCAGGUGACAAAGCAUGGGUAACCCAGGGAGCUCAGCUGCAACCAAUGCACCUGAGUGACCAGGAGUGGGCCCUGGGCCCACCCCUCCUCACCCUCAUUUAAGGGUUAGCAGCUGAGGGAGUAGCAUCUCUCUUGAGACUGUACUUCUCUUGAGCUGUUACUGGUUGUCAGAAGGGGUGAGUUAAUUUUUCUGUGUUGGUUUCUAUUGCUCUGUAGAGUUUGUAUCCCAGGAGAAGGUACUGCUAUUGCUUUCUUUUGCCCCACACCAGUUCAUUUGAGAGAAACAUUCAUGCUUCAUCUACCUACACACCAGCUCUAAUAGUCAGUGAGUGCUAGGCAGGACUUCAUCAUUGGAUGGUAUUAUCCAACAGGCUGAUGAAGAGAUGAACAGGGUACACCAUUCUUUAUUCCUGCUUUUCUUCAAUUGCUUUUUGGCUAAAGCAAUCUUGCAACACCUAAGUUAAAAAGAUGAUUUUGAGAGACUCAAUUCGCUGCAGCAGUGCCAAAAUUAAGAUUGCUUUCUUUAACAACUAAACAAUUCUGAAGACAGUGCACCUGCUCAAAUACAGGAGUGUGCUUGGCCUUAAGGGUGUGGGGUGCACAAGAGUAAAACCGGCCAAUUUCCAACUUCUCUGCCAUGGGCAGGGAUGCCCUUGCUAGGUCAGGUUGCUUGAAGCUCCAUCCCACCUGGCCUUGAGCACCUCCAGGGUUGGGGCACCUACAAUUUCUCUGGGCAGCCUGUGCCAGUGCCUCACCAUCCUCUGAGAAAAUAAUCCUGAAUAUCAAAUCUAAAUCUACUAUCUUGUAGUUUAAAGCCAUUAUAUUCAUUUUUUUUACCUGUAGUUAAACCACUGAAGAGUUCACCAGACUAUAUUACACUUAAUAUGCAUAAGUAUAAAGUCAUCUUGCUGUCACUCAGUGUGCUUAAGCACUCCACACACUGUUGAUGACAAAUAACCUGCAAUUGUUCAUCUUUGUUCCCUAGGGUGCUUUCUCUGACAAUGGGAUGACUCAACUCAGCAGUGUUGACUGGAUGAACACAUGAUUUCACAAUAAAAUAAU
Long non-coding RNA from Numida meleagris (helmeted guineafowl), 3919 nucleotides. RefSeq lists it as uncharacterized. The record is from RefSeq and is a predicted model, not a curated record. The transcript is spliced from 5 exons. NCBI's taxonomy places the organism in Eukaryota, Metazoa, Chordata, Aves, Galliformes, Numididae.